RNAcentral lists this long non-coding RNA (1236 nucleotides) under Homo sapiens (human). RNAcentral describes it as "HSALNT0156886". Lineage: Eukaryota; Metazoa; Chordata; Mammalia; Primates; Hominidae. The record is from RNAcentral.
CGUUCUUGGCCAGCACCCAGCAGCUGAUUCCCCAGGGGAGAGGCCCCGUUCCCGCCAGCCACAUUCCCACGCCGGCCUGGGAGGCUGCCAGAGAGUGGCUGGGUGUCGGGGGCUGCCUCCCAGGGGACCUGCCUCUCACCCUGCCCAGCUCUGAGGACAGCACGAGAUUCCUGCAGAUGGAGCUCCUAACCUUAAGCCAGAGAAAAGAAAAUGCCAUUCGGAAAAUCCUAAGGAAGAGAGGAUGCAUUUCCUCGUCUCCACGUGGAAGCGGAUCACCCUAAAGGUCUUCAUCCUGGUCUUUUUCAUGCUGAGGAGGCUGGGGAGGAGAAGGAAGAGGAGGGGCUGGUCUUGCUGACCCAGGAGCAGCAGAGAAAGGAGAAAAUCCACGUGCAGGGGCUGGCCAGCGCUGGGCUUCUCGGGAAUGGAAUCACACACGGACUGUGGCGUACACAUCACAACUUUAAACCCCGUCCGUACUGAAGCCUGCGUCCGAAUUUCUUCUGUUUUUGUGGCGGAAGGAUAAAUAUUCCAUUGUACAGACGGUCUACCCGGUUCAUCCGUCACCCACCCAUGGGCACCCGGGCCGUUUCCACCCUUAGUGAAGGAAGCCGCACGGGUGUUUGUGCGGACAGGAGCUUCCGUUUAUCUUGGGCGCACACCUAGGGGUGGAGUUGCUGGGUCUCGUGGUGACUGGUUGUUUCGGGAGCUGCCGGCAGGUGACCCAGCAGCUGGGCCGGUCCACAUUCCGUCCAGCAGCGUGCGAGUCUCUGAUCUUGGCGCCCACACCCCUGGCUGGCUCUCUCCUCCCUCCGACUUCGCAGCCACACCGGAGGCAGGUGGCAAUGAACUCAAGGUGUGCGGUCCCUCCCUCGGCGCCCAAGCCCCACACUGGGCCUGCCCUGGGCAUGAGUUGGCCAUUGGACCUGAGGCUGGAGAACCUGCCUGGGACAGAACAAAAUUCAAGUGUGAAGUUCUGGAAGGUUCUGGAGGGUUCCAGAGGCCUCCUGGAGCUCCCUGGGUCCCCUGGACUCCACAUGAGUGGCCACCCAGCCUGUGGUCUACGGCUGCCUAGGUUCACCCCCUUGGUCCCCCAGACACACACAGGGCAGCCCUUGUGUUCCUGGGGCCGCUGGUCCUGCAGCGUGAGCUGCCACCUGUAGGGAUCCCUCCCUGCCUGCCCACACCUGCCCCCCACGGCCGCCCCCCCUGCCUGGCCGCACCUGCCCCCCACGGCCG